UAAGACGGAGGAGGCUAGCGUUGUUCGGAAUUACUGGGCGUAAAGCGCGCGCAGGCGGUCUUGCAAGUCAGGGGUGAAAGCCCGGGGCUCAACCUCGGAACUGCCUUUGAGACUGUGAGACUCGAGACCGAGAGAGGAGAGUGGAAUUCCCAGUGUAGAGGUGAAAUUCGUAGAUAUUGGGAAGAACACCAGUGGCGAAGGCGGCUCUCUGGCUCGGUACUGACGCUGAGGCGCGAAAGCGUGGGGAGCAAACAGGAUUAGAUACCCUGGUAGUCCACGCUGUAAACGAUGGAUGCUAGACGUUGGGGGGCUUGCCCUUCGGUGUCGUAGCUAACGCGAUAAGCAUCCCGCCUGGGGAGUACGGCCGCAAGGUUA
Molecule: ribosomal RNA, 375 nt
Filed under: uncultured bacterium
Lineage: Bacteria
Description: bacterial SSU rRNA
Rfam family: Bacterial small subunit ribosomal RNA
Source: RNAcentral